CGUCUAUAUACGUAUAGCAUAUCAAUAAGCGGAGGAAAAGAAACUAACAAGGAUUCCCUUAGUAACGGCGAGUGAAGCGGGAAGAGCUCAAAUUUGAAAUCUUCAAGGUUCUACCUUGACGAAUUGUAGUUUAAAGAAGUGUUUUCUGUUAGAGGAGUAGGCAAAAGUUCCUUGGAAUGGGACAUCAUAGAGGGUGAGAAUCCCGUAUUUGGUUAUUCUUUCUAGCUUUGUGAUACACUUUCAAAGAGUCGGAUUGUUUGGGAAUGCAGUCCAAAAUGGGUGGUAAAUUUCAUCUAAAGCUAAAUAUUGGCGAGAGACCGAUAGCGAACAAGUACCGUGAGGGAAAGAUGAAAAGAACUUUGGAAAAGAGAGUUAAACAGUACGUGAAAUUGUCAAAAGGGAAGCGUUUGACACCAGUGUUGUUUUUCCGAAAAUCAAUUAAGAGUGGCUUGAUUUUGUGUUGUAUUGACCUUAUCAGCUUUCUUCACUCUUUUUCGAGUCUUUCUUAAUGCACUUUUCGGUUAACAAGUCAACAUCAAUUUCUUUUGUUGUAAAAGGGUAUUUGGAAGGUGGCUUUCUUUUCGGAGAAAGUGUUUAUAGCCUUAUACCUCUACAAUCGGAGAGAUUGAGGUCUGCAGCGUAGAUCCUUCGGGGCUAGAUACACUUGUGCUAAGUUAUAGCUUUUCAUAGACAACUUGUUGACUAUGUUUAGUCAUGUAGCUUACCCGCUUGUGCUAUUUUACCUACGCUUAGGAUGUUGAGUCAUCACACAUCUCU
This 777-nucleotide ribosomal RNA is filed under the name uncultured Neocallimastigales. Its description in RNAcentral is "partial large subunit ribosomal RNA". It matches the Rfam family "Eukaryotic large subunit ribosomal RNA", at positions 26 to 618 of the family's 3401-position model. The record is from RNAcentral. Lineage: Eukaryota; Fungi; Neocallimastigomycota; Neocallimastigomycetes; Neocallimastigales.